AUUGAACGCUGGCGGCAUGCCUUACACAUGCAAGUCGAACGGCAGCGGACCUUCGGGUGCCGGCGAGUGGCGAACGGGUGAGUAAUGCAUCGGAACGUGCCAUUGAGUGGGGGAUAACGUAGCGAAAGUUACGCUAAUACCGCAUAUUCUGUGAGCAGGAAAGCAGGGGACCGCAAGGCCUUGCGCUCUUUGAGCGGCCGAUGUCAGAUUAGCUAGUUGGUGAGGUAAAGGCUUACCAAGGCGACGAUCUGUAGCGGGUCUGAGAGGAUGAUCCGCCACACUGGAACUGAGACACGGUCCAGACUCCUACGGGAGGCAGCAGUGGGGAAUUUUGGACAAUGGGCGCAAGCCUGAUCCAGCCAUGCCGCGUGAGUGAAGAAGGCCUUCGGGUUGUAAAGCUCUUUCGGUCCGGGAACGGAAAGUACGC
RNAcentral lists this ribosomal RNA (427 nucleotides) under uncultured bacterium. Its description in RNAcentral is "bacterial SSU rRNA". It matches the Rfam family "Bacterial small subunit ribosomal RNA", at positions 30 to 458 of the family's 1533-position model. The record is from RNAcentral.